RNAcentral lists this long non-coding RNA (782 nucleotides) under Homo sapiens (human). Its description in RNAcentral is "non-protein coding lnc-NDFIP1-6:1". Lineage: Eukaryota; Metazoa; Chordata; Mammalia; Primates; Hominidae. The record is from RNAcentral.
CCACAACUGGCUGAUGAAUUCAAUUUUCAUUCCAAACCCCCUUUCUUCCCAAGAUGGUAAAGACUAGAACAAGAAUUCGUAAGAACUCUUUCUAUGCUCCUAAUAUCAAAGUGACUUUUUCCCCCUAAAGCAAUCCUAUUCUCUGCCCUAAAGUCUGGAGCAUGCACCAACUGGUAAGGGCAUUUGUCAAACAUUUUAUUAUAGAUUGUAUCUUUUAAUAAAAAAUACUAUUGUGACCAUUAAUCUAUUUAUUUGUUCUAUAAAUAUUUAUUGAGUGGCACUAUGGCUGUGAAUUUUCAGCUGUCGUGCUCACAAUUGAGUGGAGGACACAGACAAGUUAACAGGUGGUAAUGAUAUGACAAAUGAGCAUAUGAAGAGGAUAAGCACCAGGUGUUGUGCGAUCUCCUUGGAGGCAUAUCCACCUAGCCUUGGAAGGAGAGGUGACAGGAAGGGAAGUUUCCCUGAUAAGAAUAAUGAAGUGUUAGCUACACCGGUAUAAGGGUGAGGAUGGGGAUAUGUGUUCAAUUGCGGGGGGAAAAAAACCCUUCUAGUUUAAAGACCUGGACACUGGAGAAGCCUAGGCUUAUCGAGGAACAGAGGAGGUGGUGUCAAGGAACAAUUUAUAAUUUAGAGGCUGGGAAUGGUAGGGGAGAGUGGGAAAUAAAGAGUGGUUGAUUAAUGGGGACAAGUAUAUACUUGGAAGAAAUAAGACUUGGUGUUCAAUAGAUCAGUAGGAUGACUAUAGCUAACAUCAACCAAUUGUACAUUUCAAAAUAGCUGGA